CGGGCCGCUGGGGAAGAGGCGGCGGAAAAGCCGGGGAGGGCAACGGCGGUGGCGGACAGCCGAAAGGAGUAGGAGGCGGUGGCUGCGGGGGCGGCGGGCCCGGGCGACCCGGGUUGAAGAAGGGCGGUAAAGCCAUAUUCACGGACGGAGAUGCUGAGAAUUGACAGGAAUUCCAGCGGUUCUCAGUGAGUCUUCCGGGCGGAAGUGACGUCUUGCGAUGCGCGACUCCUUACGACACGUCCCUCCAAGAAGCGCAGUGUAAGGGCGGGCGUUGAUUGCAUUCUCACUCUUUCAAAUAAAAAAAUACUCUUCUAAGUAUUCUUGAUGCGUAGCUAUGAGCUCCGUGCAAGUGAGACAACGAGGCAGUCUAUUCCUGGAAUUGUCUAGUAAAAGAAAACCCAUUAAUCAUGCAACAAAUGUCGAAGUGUAAUGAUGAUAUUCGACUUGGUCAGAGUUUUAAAGUUCCGUCCUAAGGAUUUGAGGCUUCUGUUGCGAUCUGAAGGACAAACAGGAGUUAUAUGGAAGAGACAGAAGCAUGGUCCAGAUGGGAACAGCAUGUGCUAUUGGAUAGGAGUAUAACUAGUGGUGGUGGGGGACCAAAGGGAAGUAAAGGAAUGCCCGUGUGUGUGGAGCAAAGACCUGAGGGUGUCACCGUAAGAGGGUUCGAGGAGACGUUUACUUAGACCUUCAAGGCUCUUGACACACUGCAGAAGAGAAUUUAAGAAAGCAUCAAGUUUUAGAACAUAUGAAGGUGUUUAUUAGAAAGUGAAAGGGGAACCUCGUGAUCUUGGGGAAGUGGACAGAAGUUAUAAAAUCCAGAGGAAACAAUGGUGAAGGGAAAACCAUGCCAUUUGAAGACAAUUGCAAAUUAAAAUGCAACUGUAAGAAGAAAUACAGGGAGAUCCUGUGUACUUUCCCCUAAUGAUAACAUCUUGCAGAAUUGCAGAUUACAUAUUACAAUUACGUAUUACAACCAGUAUAUUAACAAUUGCUACAGUCAAGAUACAGAAUGUUUCUGUCCCUGCUAGGAUUCCUCAUUUGUCCUUUAAUAGUCACUCCAUUUUUUUCCCCCUUAACCCACCUUCUCCUCAAUCCUUGGAAACCAUUAAUCUAUUCUGUAUUUCUAUAAAUUUUGUUCUGACAAGAAUGUUAUGUAUUUAUAUGUGGAAUCAUAUAGUGUAUAACCAUUUGGGAUUUACUUUUUUCAUUGUGCACAAUCCUCUGGGGGAACAAAGUGUUUAAAAGUAUACAGAUCACUGUAAAUAUAUGAAGCACUAUGGUAAAUACUCAUUAUAGUGAACAAAACAAGUUUGGUCUUCACCCUAGUGGGAAUUAUGGUGUAGUUGGAAAGAUAAGUGAAAAGGCUUGGGAGAUUUGCUAUAGGAUAAGGAAUUCUCAGCAAUAUUUUGAUGUUUCUAGGAAUAAUUCACAAGGAAGAAAACAGUUAAUGUAAUAAAAGAACUGGAGGCUUUGAGAAAUGA
Molecule: non-coding RNA, 1481 nt
Organism: Ictidomys tridecemlineatus (thirteen-lined ground squirrel)
Lineage: Eukaryota; Metazoa; Chordata; Mammalia; Rodentia; Sciuridae
Source: RefSeq, a predicted model, not a curated record